Molecule: microRNA precursor, 62 nt
Filed under: Panagrellus redivivus
Lineage: Eukaryota; Metazoa; Nematoda; Chromadorea; Rhabditida; Panagrolaimidae
Description: microRNA prd-mir-7870 precursor
Source: miRBase by way of RNAcentral
CGGUACUUUGUGGAAUGCAUGAGUCGAAGCAUAGUAUACUCAUGCAAUCCAUUCAGUGUUGC